This 369-nucleotide ribosomal RNA is filed under the name uncultured alga. RNAcentral's name for it is "bacterial LSU rRNA". It matches the Rfam family "Bacterial large subunit ribosomal RNA", at positions 2098 to 2465 of the family's 2925-position model. The record is from RNAcentral.
GCUUGACUGUAUCUUGGAAUUGGGUUCGGGCUUUUCUUGCGCAGACUAGGUGGGAGGCUAUGAAGAUUUUCUUCUGGGAAAGUUGGAGCCAACAGUGAGAGACCACUCUGGAAAGGCUAGAAUCCUAAUGGUGAUCCUUGAAUCAGGACACUUAACAGUUUCAGGUGGGCAGUUUUUCUGGGGCGGAAGCCUCAUAAAAGGUAACUGAGGCGCGCAAAGGUCCCCUCAGUCUGGACGGAAAUCAGACAUUGAGUGUAAAGGCAAAAGGGGGCUUGACUGCAAGACCCACAAGUCGAGCAGGGGCGAAAGCUGGCCUUAGUGAUCCGACGGUGCCGUGUGGAAGGGCCGUCGCUCAACGAAUAAAAGUUA